This 399-nucleotide ribosomal RNA is filed under the name Clostridioides difficile. RNAcentral's name for it is "bacterial SSU rRNA". It matches the Rfam family "Bacterial small subunit ribosomal RNA", at positions 1 to 407 of the family's 1533-position model. The record is from RNAcentral. Lineage: Bacteria; Bacillati; Bacillota; Clostridia; Peptostreptococcales; Peptostreptococcaceae.
UUUUAUUUGAGAGUUUGAUCCUGGCUCAGGAUGAACGCUGGCGGCGUGCCUAACACAUGCAAGUUGAGCGAUUUACUUCGGUAAAGAGCGGCGGACGGGUGAGUAACGCGUGGGUAACCUACCCUGUACACACGGAUAACAUACCGAAAGGUAUGCUAAUACGGGAUAAUAUAUUUGAGAGGCAUCUCUUGAAUAUCAAAGGUGAGCCAGUACAGGAUGGACCCGCGUCUGAUUAGCUAGUUGGUAAGGUAACGGCUUACCAAGGCGACGAUCAGUAGCCGACCUGAGAGGGUGAUCGGCCACAUUGGAACUGAGACACGGUCCAAACUCCUACGGGAGGCAGCAGUGGGGAAUGUAGCACAAUGGGCGAAAGCCUGAUGCAGCAACGCCGCGUGAGUG